Molecule: ribosomal RNA, 439 nt
Filed under: uncultured bacterium
Lineage: Bacteria
Description: partial 16S ribosomal RNA
Rfam family: Bacterial small subunit ribosomal RNA
Source: RNAcentral
CUACGGGAUGCUGCAGUGAGGAAUAUUGCACAAUGGGGGGAACCCUGAUGCAGCAACGCCGCGUGGAGGAUGACGCAUUUCGGUGUGUAAACUCCUUUUAUAUGUCAAGAAAAUGACGGUAGCAUAUGAAUAAACACCGGCUAACUCCGUGCCAGCAGCCGCGGUAAUACGGAGGGUGCAAGCGUUACUCGGAAUCACUGGGCGUAAAGGACGCGUAGGCGGGUUGGAAAGUCAGGUGUGAAAUCCUACAGCUUAACUGUAGAACCGCACUUGAAACUUCUAAUCUAGAGUAUGGGAGGGGGAGAUGGAAUUAGUGGUGUAGGGGUAAAAUCCGUAGAUAUCACUAGGAAUACCUAAAGCGAAGGCGAUCUCCUGGAACAUUACUGACGCUAAGGCGUGAAAGCGUGGGGAGCAAACAGGAUUAGAUACCCCGGUAGUC